ACAGGAAUUCCCCUAGUACGGCGAGUGAACCGGGAAGAGCUCAAAUUUGAAAUCUGGCGUCCUCAGGGCGUCCGAGUUGUAAUCUAUAGAGGCGUUUUCCGUGCCGGACCGUGUCCAAGUUCCUUGGAACAGGAUAUCAAAGAGGGUGACAAUCCCGUACUUGACACGACGACCGGUGCUCUGUGAUACGUCUUCUACGAGUCGAGUUGUUUGGGAAUGCAGCUCAAAAUGGGUGGUGAGUUCCAUCUAAAGCUAAAUAUUGGCGAGAGACCGAUAGCGAACAAGUACCGUGAGGGAAAGAUGAAAAGCACUUUGGAAAGAGAGUUAAACAGUACGUGAAAUUGUUGAAAGGGAAACGAUUGAAGUCAGUCGUGACCGAGAGGCUCAGCCGGUUCUGCCGGUGUAUUCCCCUCGGUCGGGUCAACAUCAGUUUUGUCUGGUGGAUAAGGGCGGUAGGAAGGUGGCACCCUCGGGUGUGUUAUAGCCUGCCGUCGCAUACAUCGGGUGAGACUGAGGAACGCAGCUCGCCUUUAUGGCCGGGGUUCGCCCACGUCCGAGCUUAGGAUGUUGACAUAAUGGCUUUAAACGACCCGUCUUGAAAMMMSGGAMMAAAAA
This 615-nucleotide ribosomal RNA is filed under the name Papiliotrema laurentii. Its description in RNAcentral is "partial large subunit ribosomal RNA". It matches the Rfam family "Eukaryotic large subunit ribosomal RNA", at positions 68 to 672 of the family's 3401-position model. The record is from RNAcentral. Lineage: Eukaryota; Fungi; Basidiomycota; Tremellomycetes; Tremellales; Rhynchogastremaceae.